UACAGAGGUCUCGAGCGUUAGGCGGAAUCACUGGGCUUAAGGCGUGUGUAGGUGGAUGCCUAAGUACCUUGUGAAAUCCCACAGCUUAACUGUGGAACUGCUUGGUAUACUGGGUGUCUUGAGUCACUCAGGGGCGAGCGGAACAAAUGGUGGAGCGGUGAAAUGCGUAGAUAUCAUUUGGAACGCCAAUGGUGAAAACAGCUCGCUGGGGGUGUACUGACACUGAGACACGAAAGCCAGGGGAGCGAACGGG
Molecule: ribosomal RNA, 253 nt
Filed under: uncultured bacterium
Lineage: Bacteria
Description: partial 16S ribosomal RNA
Rfam family: Bacterial small subunit ribosomal RNA
Source: RNAcentral